UUACACCGGUUGCCGGCACACCUUCCCGC
This 29-nucleotide small RNA is filed under the name Bombyx mori (domestic silkworm). Its description in RNAcentral is "ovarian small RNA-9307". Lineage: Eukaryota; Metazoa; Arthropoda; Insecta; Lepidoptera; Bombycidae. The record is from RNAcentral.